RNAcentral lists this ribosomal RNA (305 nucleotides) under uncultured bacterium. RNAcentral describes it as "partial 16S ribosomal RNA". It matches the Rfam family "Bacterial small subunit ribosomal RNA", at positions 505 to 809 of the family's 1533-position model. The record is from RNAcentral.
ACAGCAGUAGCCACGGUAAUACGUAGGUGGCAAGCGUUGUCCGGAAUUAUUGGGCGUAAAGCGCGCGCAGGCGGAUCAGUUAGUCUGUCUUAAAAGUUCGGGGCUUAACCCCGUGAUGGGAUGGAAACUGCUGAUCUAGAGUAUCGGAGAGGAAAGUGGAAUUCCUAGUGUAGCGGUGAAAUGCGUAGAUAUUAGGAAGAACACCAGUGGCGAAGGCGACUUUCUGGACGAAAACUGACGCUGAGGCGCGAAAGCCAGGGGAGCGAACGGGAUUAGAGACCCCAGUAGUCCCUGUCUCUUAUACA